UCCUGUCCUUAGCAGCGCAGUUUCCAUACCAGACCGUGAUUGAGCUGGUGAGGUCCUCGCUGAUGUGGGUCCCGAGGAAAUUUAAAGGUUUUCACCCUGUCCACCUCUGUCUCCCCUAUGUACAGAGAUGUCUCUCCAGAGAGUGGUGAGGACGGCGGAAAAGAUCAUCAGGACUCCUCUUCCUCCUAUCCAGGAGAUCGCAAAAAGCCGCUGCCUGACCAGGGCUCAGAAAAUCUGCAAAGACUCCUCCCACCCCCACCAAGGACUGUUUUCACUGCUGGACUCUAGAAAGAGGUUCCGCAGCCUCCGAAGCAGAACCUCCAGGUUCUGUAACAGCUUUUUCCCUCAGGCCGUGAGAUUCUUGAACGCAUCAUAAUUAAAGAAUCCCCUCAACUCCCCCCAAAAUGGAUUAA
Molecule: long non-coding RNA, 413 nt
Organism: Entelurus aequoreus (snake pipefish)
Lineage: Eukaryota; Metazoa; Chordata; Actinopteri; Syngnathiformes; Syngnathidae
Exons: 3
Source: RefSeq, a predicted model, not a curated record